CUUGCACAGGUGCUGCAUGGCUGUCGUCAGCUCGUGUCGUGAGAUGUUCGGUUAAGUCCGCUAACGAGCGCAACCCUCGCUGUGUGUUAUAUGUGUCACGCGGGACUGCCGGUCUUAAGCCGGAGGAAGGUGGGGAUGAUGUCAAGUCAGCAUGGCCUUUAUAUCCUGGGCUACACACACGCUACAAUGGCCAACACAAUAGGUUGCUAAGCCGCGAGGUGGCGCCAAUCCAUAAAGUUGGUCUCAGUUCAGAUUGUAGGCUGCAACCCGCCUGCAUGAAGAUGGAGUUGCUAGUAACCGCAGGUCAGCUAUACUGCGGUGAAUACGUUCCCGGGGCUU
This 339-nucleotide ribosomal RNA is filed under the name uncultured Leptolinea sp. RNAcentral describes it as "bacterial SSU rRNA". It matches the Rfam family "Bacterial small subunit ribosomal RNA", at positions 1029 to 1382 of the family's 1533-position model. Lineage: Bacteria; Bacillati; Chloroflexota; Anaerolineae; Anaerolineales; Anaerolineaceae. The record is from RNAcentral.